Molecule: ribosomal RNA, 497 nt
Filed under: uncultured bacterium
Lineage: Bacteria
Description: partial 16S ribosomal RNA
Rfam family: Bacterial small subunit ribosomal RNA
Source: RNAcentral
GAUGAACGCUGGCGGCGUGCCUAAUACAUGCAAGUCGAGCGAACGGACGAGAAGCUUGCUUCUCUGUUGUUAGCGGCGGACGGGUGUGUAACACGUGGAUAACCUACCUAUAAGACUGGUAUAACUUCGGGAAACGGGAGCUAAUACCGUAUAAUCUUUUGAACCGCAUGGUUCAUAGGUGAAAGUCGGUCGUGCGGGCAUGUAUAGAUGGUUCCGCGCUGCAUUAGCUAGUUGGUAAGGUAACGGGUUACCAAGGCAACGAUGCAUGGCCGAGCUGAGAGGGUGAUCGGCCGCACUGGAACUGGGACACGGACAUGGCUCCUACGGGAGGCCGCAGUAGCGAAUGGUCCGCAGUGGGCGAGAGCCUGACACAGCGACGGCGAGUGAGUGAUGACGAUCUUCGGAUCGUAAAGCUCUGUUAUUAGGGAAGAACAGAUGUGUAAGUAACUGUGCACAUAUUGACGGUAACUGGUCAGAAAGCCACGGCUAACUACGUG